RNAcentral lists this long non-coding RNA (913 nucleotides) under Anser brachyrhynchus (Pink-footed goose). RNAcentral describes it as "lncRNA (ENSABRG00000005507.1)". The record is from RNAcentral. Lineage: Eukaryota; Metazoa; Chordata; Aves; Anseriformes; Anatidae.
AUGACUAUUUUAAACUGUUUUUUCAUUUCUGUAGAUUGUACAGAGCUGCACCAGCAGAUAAGACUCCAUGAAACCAAGAUGCGUUUAUCCCUCGUGGUGGCUUCAAGUAGCACAUUCACAUUGAAGAGCAUUCCAGUUCUGCUUCCUACAUGCUGCGGGUCAGUACCAUUUCCCAUUUGCCUGUGGACACCUCCCUGGUUGUUACCAGCUGCCUCGUGCUUUUGUGGUAGCUGCCUGUACGAUUGUGUCUCUUGUGAUAGAGCUCUAAUCUAGUAUAAAACAUCUAGUUUGGCACCUGGUGAUAAUUUAUCCUAUGAAAUAUCUGGAUGUAUUUUUUGCCAGUAAAAAUUCUGAAAGCCAAUUCAUUUGGCUGAUGGAGUGGCACUGCUGAAAUGUUCAAUGUGAGAGGAAAGCCAGGCAUGUGUCCAGGGUUUCUAGGUGAAUCGGCCCAAUUCCCAGGAGCUGUGCCAUGUGCAGUGAUUCUAAGUCGCACAGAUGGUUUUCAGCACUCCCAGCCUCCUGCAGGAAGUGUCAGUGAUGGCCUUUGCUUUUGGUUUACACAAACCCUAUUACCUAGCAAGAGCAAGUUGUAAAUCAGUUCUUGACAAGUCUGAAAUGAAUGAAUCCCUUUCCUGUUAAAGCAGGUGGCCUUCCAGAGCAUAUAAAUGUCUACCGGGUUCGCUGUUCUGGAUCAGUGUCUGAUUUGCUUAUGCUUGGUUUCCUUAUGGAGAUGAGUCAGAGACUAAAGAGUUUCAGUCUAGUGAGGAGCAGAGUACCCAUUUUAAGUAGCUGUGCUUUCUUGAUUUCUCCUGAGAGGAGAUAGCAGGGACUGAACGUUUCAGCUGAUACCGUUGAUAUUUCACACAGUAAUCUUUGAGAUGGAAAGUAUCAGAACAAAAUUACAAGCCCCUAC